Molecule: ribosomal RNA, 460 nt
Filed under: uncultured bacterium
Lineage: Bacteria
Description: partial 16S ribosomal RNA
Rfam family: Bacterial small subunit ribosomal RNA
Source: RNAcentral
CCUACGGGGGACAGCAGUGAGGAAUAUUGGUCAAUGGGCGCGAGCCUGAACCAGCCAAGUAGCGUGAAGGAUGACUGCCCUACGGGCUGUAAACUUCUUUUAUAAAGGAAUAAAGUGAGGCACGUGUGCCUUUUUGUAUGUACUUUAUGAUUCAGGAUCGGCUAACUCCGUGCCAGCAGCCGCGGUAAUACGGAGGAUCCGAGCGUUAUACGGAUUUAUUGGGUUUAAAGGGAGCGUAGAUGGGUUGUUAAGUCAGAUGUGAAAGUUUGCGGCUCAACCGUAAAAUUGCAAUUGAUACUGGCAGUCUUGAGUACAGGUGAGGUAGGCGGAAUUCGUGGUGUAGCGGUGAAAUGCUUAGAUAUCACGAAGAACUCCGAUUGCGAAGGCAGCUUACUAAACUGCCACUGACAUUGAUGCUCGAAAGUGUGGGUAUCAAACAGGAUUAGAUACCCUUGUAGUC